Heterocephalus glaber (naked mole-rat) is the source of this 468-nucleotide non-coding RNA. NCBI's taxonomy places the organism in Eukaryota, Metazoa, Chordata, Mammalia, Rodentia, Bathyergidae. The record is from the annotation of a RefSeq genome assembly.
UUUGCAUGGUGGAGCUCACAGCCCUCUGCCCUGAAUAUUUAUUAUGCUGCUAACACCCUGUGCACAAGCCAGUCCCAGUUAGGACACAGCAUGGACAUGAGGGUCCCUGCUCAGCUCCUGGGGCUCCUGCUCCUCUGCCUCCCAGGUGGGCGAUGUGACAUCCAGAUGACUCAGUCUGCAUCCUCACUGUCUGGCUCUGUAGGAGACACAGUUGCUAUCACUUGCACAGCCAGUCAGAACAUUUACAGCAAUUUACAGUGGUAUCAGCAGAAACCUGGAAAAGCUCCAAAGCUACUGAUCUAUGGUGCAAGCAGUUUGGCAUCUGGGGUCCCACCGAGGUUCAGUGGCAGUGGAUCUGGGACAGAUUACACUCUCACCAUCAGCAACCUGGAACCUGAAGAUGUUGGAACUUAUUACUGUCAACAGGAUAGUAGAUACCCUCCCACAGUGAUACAAGUAAUAACAUAA